This is a long non-coding RNA of Drosophila mauritiana, 2053 nucleotides long. RefSeq lists it as uncharacterized. The record is from RefSeq and is a predicted model, not a curated record. The transcript is spliced from 3 exons. NCBI's taxonomy places the organism in Eukaryota, Metazoa, Arthropoda, Insecta, Diptera, Drosophilidae.
ACCGACUUCCAACUUCUAGUGCUGCCAACUUCUCUCUCCAACCAAGGGUGCCAACUGCUCAAUAUAUCGCCUGCUUACAUACGGUCAUCCUGCUAAGCGUCGUCUGUCCCAUCUCCAUAACUUAUGUUAUCUACGCUUGUUGAGGUAUAAUUUGGACCUUUAAACUCCACAACCUUCUUAACGUCAGAUCGACCACAUCGUUUCACUUUGACCACUUCGAAUGGGUAAAAAAAAGUAUUAGCCACCGGUGACGAACUGCGUCCGCUUUUGCAUCUGUAUGCUAACUUUUCGGUGCAUUUCUUGACUCUCAUUCCCAAAAUCCUCCAUCAAUUUUUGUUUCAAGAGCUUAGUUACCAUGUCUGUAAUUUUGGUCAGCAUCUUGUUACCAAAAAUCAGGUCGAAUGCGGCUCUUUGUGUUGUAGAAUAAACAUGUGACUUUAUUGCGUUUUGGACUUCGGCAACGAAAAUAUACGAUUCAGUUGUAUUGUCUGUAGAAAGUUUUCUAAUGAUGGACAGGAUAACUCGCUUGACUCGCUUUAUCUGGCAGUUUCUUCUGAAUCUGAAUCGUAUUUGGCUUCAUGAAAAGUGCCUGAGGUGAAAGCUCUAUCUGUCACGAUCCUAGCAGGAAAUCCAAAAAUGUUUGACAAUUUAUCCAGAUUUUUUAUACCUCCAUCGGCUCCUAAAGUUUUUGUAAAGAACAACGACACAAAAAUUUCAAAAAUACUUUAACCAUUGCAAAAAUGUAUUUUUAAAGUUUUGCUUUAGAAUCCAUUGGGACUAGAUGAUCCAGAUGUAGCGUCUGUAAGGGUUGACCUCCUGUGUCCAUCCAAUUCAGCCGCAUGUUACACAAGUAUGCUGCUGGCUGUAGAUAUGUCGUUCUAAAACGCUAUCAGAGGUCUCUUUACUCCACAAAAAUAAUGGAUAAACAUAUUCUCCAAAUCGCUGAAACAACGAUGCGCUAAGUUCAUAAUUUGAAGCGUCUGUGUGCAGUUCCGUGGGAGCAUUCUGUGAAUAGAUUUUAAGAACUGGUUCUUGGCAAAGGCUGAUUAGAUGCGUUCAACUCCUCGGUGUUCAUCUUUAAUACAUCAAUUUAAAACGGAAUACAAAAGUACACGGCUUUGAUAUUUACCCAUCAUAUCCUGAUGUUCUUAAUGCUAAACUAAAGCUUAGACCAAAUGGAAUCGAGUAUUUUGAGAAUAAAGCGCAAGUUGAGUUACAACAACUCUUAAACCACACAACUUCGCGGAUUCUUGAUAUGCAGUAUGAAACUUUCAAAGCAAAUACCAACUCGAUAGAAUGCCAAUUAAUAUUUAGCUAUGGAUAAGAUGGAUCAACUGGUCAAAGUAUUUAUAAGCAACGUUAUGAGGAAAUCGGUGCUGUAUAUGAUGGAUCGCUGUUUGUUACUACAAUUGUGCCAUUAAAAUUAGUAGACAAUUAACAAAAAAUAAUUUGGAUCAACAGAUCGCCACAAUCUAUACGGUUUUGUCGUCCUUUAAAAAUGGAAUUUAUUAAGGAAACUCGAGAGCUUAUAUUAGCAGAAAAAGAAAACUUGGAUACCCAGACUCGUAAUCUGCACAUAUAUUUGCAUAAAAUAAACAACAUUAAUAUAUUUGUAAAAUAUGUCAAAUAUAAUUGUUUGGUGCCUGUUGGCUGUCUUGGUGAGCAAGCGUCCGAAUCGAGGAACAAAUUAUAUAAGAGCGAUCGGAGAAGACAUGCAAGAAAAUGCAGUUGCCUAGAUACUAUGACCGAUAUUUUUAACAGAGCUCUAGAUACGUCUGAUCCUUUGUUGUCUAGUAUUUAUCUAAAAGAAAGACAAAGGAAAAAUAAAAACAAAAAUAUGCCGCAAGAGGUAAUUUCUCUACUUAAAUCACCAUGCGUUGGAUGAUCAUGGUGAUUGUCAGGACAUCGACGAGGGCGAGGAGGACGAUGAAAGAGAACUUCUACAGAAAGAUCAUGAACUUGAUGUAAUAGCCUCAGACGAAGUUUUUUUUUUAAAUUAAUAAAUAAUAAGUUUAGUUUUUUUGACAAAAUGAUUUGGACCAUCAUAUACAUC